ACGGAGGAUGCAAGCGUUAUCCGGAUUUAUUGGGUUUAAAGGGUGCGCAGGUUGUUUUAUAAGUCAGUGGUGAAAGUCUGCCGCUUAACGGAAGGAUUGCCAUUGAUACUAUAGGACUUGAGUAUGGAUGAGGUAGGCGGAAUGUGUAGUGUAGCGGUGAAAUGCAUAGAUAUUACACAGAACACCGAUUGCGAAGGCAGCUUACUAGGCCAUUACUGACGCUGAGGCACGAAAGCGUGGGGAUCAAACAG
This 251-nucleotide ribosomal RNA is filed under the name uncultured prokaryote. Its description in RNAcentral is "partial 16S rRNA". It matches the Rfam family "Bacterial small subunit ribosomal RNA", at positions 525 to 775 of the family's 1533-position model. The record is from RNAcentral.